This 508-nucleotide ribosomal RNA is filed under the name uncultured bacterium. RNAcentral describes it as "bacterial SSU rRNA". It matches the Rfam family "Bacterial small subunit ribosomal RNA", at positions 17 to 518 of the family's 1533-position model. The record is from RNAcentral.
UUCUGGCUCAGGAUGAACGCUAGCUACAGGCUUAACACAUGCAAGUCGAGGGGCAGCAUUGGAGUAGCAAUACUCAGAUGGCGACCGGCGCACGGGUGAGUAACACGUAUCCAACCUGCCGCUUACUCGGGGAUAGCCUUUCGAAAGAAAGAUUAAUACCCGAUGGUAUAAAGAGUUCGCAUGUUCUCUUUAUUAAAGAAUUUCGGUAAGCGAUGGGGAUGCGUUCCAUCAGAUAGUUGGCGGGGUAACGGCCACCAAGUCUACGAUGGAUAGGGGUUCUGAGAGGAAGGUCCCCCCACAUUGGAACUGAGACACGGUCCAAACUCCUACGGGAGGCAGCAGUGAGGAAUAUUGGUCAAUGGACGAGAGUCUGAACCAGCCAAGUAGCGUGAGGGAUGACUGCCCUAUGGGUUGUAAACUUCUUUUAUAAGGGAAUAAAGUGAGGGACGUGUCCCUUUUUGUAUGUACCUUAUGAAUAAGGAUCGGCUAACUCCGUGCCAGCAGCUGC